This is a long non-coding RNA of Tyto alba (common barn owl), 621 nucleotides long. RefSeq lists it as uncharacterized. Lineage: Eukaryota; Metazoa; Chordata; Aves; Strigiformes; Tytonidae. The transcript has 5 exons. The record is from RefSeq and is a predicted model, not a curated record.
GCACCUGGCCGGGCUGCCUCCAUGGAGCUCUUGCCUCCUCCCGGGAUGGCUCCGCGCCUGCCAUAGCUGUGGGCAGCGUCACUAACACUCACCUUGUCCAUGGCUGACUCACGACUACUGCAUCUGCUGAGAGGGAGCACACAAAGUAGGUGUUUAUUCUCCUGAGCAACAGUUUUGCCUUGUAAAAUCUGCUUCCUCAAGUUCCAGAAAUGACCCUAUAAUUAGACCCAGCAUGCUGUGGGCAGACAGAUGUACAGAAGUUAAAUGUGGCACACGCUCUCCUUGCCUGAUCUUCAGAAGAUGUUAGAACAUAAGAAUCUAAUGUCAGUGUCCCCUGAGCUCUUGCCUAUAAAGCAAAGAAUGGUUCUUGGUGAGAUUUCCCAAAUGCAGACUUAAUCUUCAAGGAGCUUCCCCGCAUGUAGACCUGCCACACCUUCAUCGAUGCUGUAUGACUGUCCUGUGAACCAGAUCCUUUCAAGAUCAUGGUCUGAGGAAAGACUAGAUGAAAACAGCUUCUGGAAUCUCUGAAGACUGUGUACACUUAACUGCAGUGGGCAAAUACAAUUUCUUCCCUUAAUCCCUGAAGCUCAGCAGCUAUGGUUUUUCAAGCACCUGGAAGGC